GGCCUCGUAAAUAUCUUCGUUCACCUCUCUCCCAUUCUAUCUUUUUAACUCCCUUGUCUCUAAUUUGCCCUAGAUGUUCUUCCGAAUCUGCUCUAAAGCCUUCGCUGUUACGAAUUCCGCCUGAUUUCCGGAGAUUUAUCCGCCGGAUCUCGAUUAUGUUCGUGGUGAGAGAUCGACAUUUACAAAUUCCUACGUGUACGAUUCUCUUUUCGACGCCGCUUUGUUCGUCGGCGAAUUUUGAUGAUACCCGUAGAUGAGAAUUAUUUGGAUCGAUCUCAAGUGAACAUGUCUCCAUUUUCAGGUGAGAUUCAUCGUUUCGAUUUUUCGGGCGGAUGCAUUUCUUGAGCCUUUUCCCCUUUUUCAUGGAGAUACUGCGAUCCAUUUAAAAAAAAUUGGCAAUCUGCUGCAGUUAAAUCAAGGAGGAUGAGAUUCUGAAGAGUUGCAGGUGUCAAUGC
Molecule: long non-coding RNA, 455 nt
Organism: Tarenaya hassleriana
Lineage: Eukaryota; Viridiplantae; Streptophyta; Magnoliopsida; Brassicales; Cleomaceae
Exons: 3
Source: RefSeq, a predicted model, not a curated record